UGAACCUCUUCGGGGAAAUACCAGAAUCAGAAGUUAAUGUCCUGAAGAGAAGCUACCAUCAGAACAUUACUCAUUAACUGAGAAAACCUGAAAAUAACCAGAAAGAUCUGGCUGCAGUCAUUGAUGCCAGACCAACAUGGAGCCGCUGUCUCUUUCCUCCAGAGGUCACCAGCCAGGCCAUCCACGACACACUUGGAAAACCAGGGAAAUAAACUCUGAUGGACCACCUAGCCUGCGUUACACUGUUCAAGCUCAGAAGGGUGCAAAGUGACAAGGUGUUCCCAGCACCACAGGAUUCCCCCAACACUAACCUCAGUCAGAUGUUUACGGCCAAGCAAAUGGAAAUGGAGAUUUAAGGAGUGGGGGGCAGAGAUGGGAGUCAGACGAAUUUCACGGUGUCCUGGGCAAGGAGAAAGACAAACCCCUUUGCCCCUAAUAAUUAAAAGCUUCUCAGAGGAGCCACUUUCUGGCCAGAGCAGGAGGUGUGCAAGGGACUGAGAUCACUCAUCCUGGAGUAAGCCAGCUGCCAUGUCAUGAGGACACUCAAGCAGCCCUAAGGAGAGAUCCACGUGGCAAGGAGCUGAGGCCUCCUCCCUACAGCCACAUGAGUGAGUCAUCUCAGAAGUGGAUUUCCAGCUCUAGUCAAGCUUCAAAAAACUACAGCCCUGCAGCCCCAGACAGCAUUUUAACUACAGUCUCAUGAGAGAUCCUGAGCCAGAACCACCGACCUAAGCCACUCCCAAAUUCUUGACCUGCAGAAAUUAUGCCUUGAACAUUCUGUGGGCCAUUACAAAGCUCACAUCCUCUGUGCCCGUGGGGCUUCGUGAUUCAAACGGCCGUGACCAGGCCUGUCUGGGUGCAGGCUCACCGGCAAUGUGGUCAUAUGCAUCUUAUCUCCUAAAAGAAUCGUGAACCAGGAGAGGUCACUGGCGGUAACUGCCCAAAUACUGCUCUCCGAGGACUCAGGGAUACUCUCUUCCCAAAGCAAGUUUUUUGGUUUUUUAAAGGUAGUUUCCAAUAAUCCCUUAAAUGUGUUUCUCACUAUCUUACAUGCCUGAGUAGUCGCCGAGCGUGGUGCCUCACUACCAUGGUAUGAUUUCCAGCCUGUUAACUAGUAAACUCGUGUGAGUGAAUUUAACCUCA
Molecule: long non-coding RNA, 1143 nt
Organism: Balaenoptera musculus (blue whale)
Lineage: Eukaryota; Metazoa; Chordata; Mammalia; Artiodactyla; Balaenopteridae
Exons: 6
Source: RefSeq, a predicted model, not a curated record